Molecule: long non-coding RNA, 236 nt
Filed under: Actinidia chinensis (golden kiwifruit)
Lineage: Eukaryota; Viridiplantae; Streptophyta; Magnoliopsida; Ericales; Actinidiaceae
Description: long non-coding RNA (ACHI_LNC001341)
Source: RNAcentral
AGAGAGAACGCAAAUUAAGGUACUGUUAAUGCUAAUUAAGAGAACGCAAAUUAAGUUGGGGGAAAAUGGAAAUCUCAAGAAGCGUUGUGCGAGGGACGAUCUCACGAAGUUUGGUCUUCUUCAAGGUCACGACCCUCCCUCUCUCUGUCUCUAUCUUCUCGAAUGCUUCCAUGAUCGAUAUCUCUCAAUGGCUUCUUCUUCGAUCUUCUUCUGCUAAUCCGUGCGCGUGUGAGAGA